ACUGAGCAUCAGUCAAGAGGAAUUCAUUACGAAAGCAGAACCUCACAAACAUAAGACUGUCAAAGAAGACUACGUUCGUAGUGCUGACUAAUGAUCGUAGAGUCAUCAGUCCUGAAAAAUAUCCAUACCUACAAACAGGGAGAUCUAAGUGAUAAUGGUGAUUCCAGUCAGAAGGAGAUUUGCAAGGCUGCCUUCUAAUACAUAUGUGGAAAAGGGAAUCACAGAUGAGAAAAUAGCAUUAACCAUGGGGAGCAGUGAUCUGUUGAGAAACAACAGCACUGAGUUUUACUAUGAAGAA
This 298-nucleotide long non-coding RNA is filed under the name Panax ginseng (ginseng). RNAcentral's name for it is "long non-coding RNA (PGIN_LNC016426)". Lineage: Eukaryota; Viridiplantae; Streptophyta; Magnoliopsida; Apiales; Araliaceae. The record is from RNAcentral.